RNAcentral lists this non-coding RNA (221 nucleotides) under Aeribacillus pallidus. RNAcentral's name for it is "T-box sequence". It matches the Rfam family "T-box leader". Rfam says of the family: Uncharged tRNA acts as the effector for transcription antitermination of genes in the T-box leader family. Lineage: Bacteria; Bacillati; Bacillota; Bacilli; Caryophanales; Bacillaceae. The record is from RNAcentral.
GCAAGAACGGUGAAAAGGAUCAGUAGUGGAUAAAGGCGUCUAGAGAGUUGACGGAAGGUGAAAGUCAAUCGUUGUUUAUUCACGAACUCCCCUUUGAGUUGCGGGUGUGAAAUGUAUUCCGGUACAGACUAAUGCCCGACGUGUUUCCACGUUACGGAACAGAGUGAGUGCAUUUGCGCUAAUUUGGGUGGUACCGCGGGAAAUUGUCUCUCGUCCCUUCG